AGGAUAUGAUACUGGUUCAGAACGAACGCUGGCGGCGUGGAUUAGGCAUGCAAGUCGAGCGACGGGCCCGCCUUCGGGCGGGAGACCGAGCGGCAAAAGGGUGAGUAAUGCGUAGGUAACUUACCCUCGAGAAGGGGAUAACGGUGGGAAACCGCCGCUAAUACCCCAUACGUUCACGGUGUCUCCGGGUACUGUGAAGAAAGGAGGGCAACUUCCGCUCGAGGAUGGGCCUACGUCCUAUUAGCUUGUUGGUGAGGUAAAGGCUCACCAAGCAACGAUGGGUAGCCGACCUGAGAGGGUGACCGGCCACACUGGGACUGAGACACUGCCCAGACUCCUACGGGAGGCUGCAGUCGAGAAUCAUCCGCAAUGGGCGAAAGCCUGACGGUGCGACGCCGCGUGAGGGAUGAAGGCCUUCGGGUUGUAAACCUCUGUCACGGGUUAAGAAACGUACGAAGUUAACGCUUCGUGCUUGACGAAACCGAAAGGAAGUCACGGCUAACUCCGUGCCAGCAGCCGCGGUAAUACGGAGGUGGCUAGCGUUGUUCGGUAUCACUGGGCUUAAAGGGGGCGCAGGCGGUUCAGUUAGUCGGUAUGUGAAAGCCCUCCGCACAACGGAGGGAUUGCGUCCGAUACUGCUGGACUAGAGGCUCGUAGGGGAGAGUAGAAUUCCUGGUGUAGCGGUGAAAUGCGUAGAUAUCAGGAAGAAUGCCGGUGGCGAAGGCGACUCUCUGGGCGAGCCCUGACGCUGAGGCCCGAAAGCCAGGGGAGCGAACAGGAUUAGAUACCCUGGUAGUCCUGGCUGUAAACGAUGGGCACUACGUAGAGGGGGGGAAUACCUUCUCUGCUCAAGCAAAAGUAUUAAGUGCCCCGCCUGGGGAGUAUGGUCGCAAGGCUGAAACUCAAAGUAAUUGACGGGGGCUCACACAAGCGGUGGAGGAUGUUCUUUAAUUCGAAACAACGCGAAGAACCUUACCGGGGCUUGAACCGCUGGGUAAACCCUGUGAAAGCAGGGCUGGCUAUGCCAACCCAGUAGAGGUGUUGCAUGGCUGUCGUCAGCUCGUGUCGUGAGAUGUCGGGUUAAGUCCCAUAACGAGCGAAACCCUUGUCCUUAGUUACCAUCACUUCGGGUGGGGACCCUAAGGAGACUGCCGGUGUCAAGCCGGAGGAAGGUGGGGAUGACGUCAAGUCAUCAUGGCCCUUAUGUCCCGGGCUAGAAACGUCCUACAAUGGGCGGUACAAAGGGAACCGAAGCCGUGAGGCGGGGGAAAUCCCCUAAAGCCGUCCUCAGUUCGGAUCGCAGGCUGAAAUUCGCCUGCGUGAAGCUGGAAUCGCUAGUAAUCGCGGAUCAGCACGCCGCGGUGAAUAUGUUCCUGAGCCUUGUACACACCGCCCGUCAAGCCACGAGAAUCGGGGGUACCCGAAGUCGCUGACCCAACCGCAAGGAGGGAGGCGCCGAAGGUAAAACCGGUGAUCGGGACUAAGUCGGAACAAGGUA
RNAcentral lists this ribosomal RNA (1498 nucleotides) under metagenome. RNAcentral's name for it is "bacterial SSU rRNA". It matches the Rfam family "Bacterial small subunit ribosomal RNA". The record is from RNAcentral.